RNAcentral lists this non-coding RNA (270 nucleotides) under Paenibacillus polymyxa. Its description in RNAcentral is "T-box sequence". It matches the Rfam family "T-box leader". From Rfam's summary of the family: Uncharged tRNA acts as the effector for transcription antitermination of genes in the T-box leader family. T-boxes are found upstream of many aminoacyl-tRNA synthetase genes and some amino acid biosynthetic genes usually in Gram-positive bacteria. Lineage: Bacteria; Bacillati; Bacillota; Bacilli; Caryophanales; Paenibacillaceae. The record is from RNAcentral.
UGUUUUCCUGUGAAGGGAUGAGUAAGGUAAGUCGUCCAGUACAGAGAGCCGGAGUUAGCUGAAAACCGGUCUGGAGUGAAGCCUGAAUAUGGUCCUGGAGGAACCUUUUUCGAGCGUAUUUGCCAUAGUGAAGCUGUGUUCAAGAGGCAAUCGUAAGGAGGAGGCGUGAUCCAGCGUUAAUGGGCGGUCAGAUGUGACCGGUGAAGCCUGUAUUCUGCGAAGGUACAGGGAAUUUGGGUGGUAACGCGUGAGGUGACUCUCGUCCCAUAG